RNAcentral lists this ribosomal RNA (442 nucleotides) under uncultured bacterium. RNAcentral's name for it is "bacterial SSU rRNA". It matches the Rfam family "Bacterial small subunit ribosomal RNA", at positions 546 to 987 of the family's 1533-position model. The record is from RNAcentral.
CGGAAUUACUGGGCGUAAAGCGAGCGCAGACGGUUACUUAAGCAGGAUGUGAAAUCCCCGGGCUCAACCUGGGAACUGCGUUCUGAACUGGGUGACUAGAGUGUGUCAGAGGGAGGUAGAAUUCCACGUGUAGCAGUGAAAUGCGUAGAGAUGUGGAGGAAUACCGAUGGCGAAGGCAGCCUCCUGGGAUAACACUGACGUUCAUGCUCGAAAGCGUGGGUAGCAAACAGGAUUAGAUACCCUGGUAGUCCACGCCCUAAACGAUGUCAAUUAGCUGUUGGGCAACUUGAUUGCUUAGUAGCGUAGCUAACGCGUGAAAUUGACCGCCUGGGGAGUACGGUCGCAAGAUUAAAACUCAAAGGAAUUGACGGGGACCCGCACAAGCGGUGGAUGAUGUGGAUUAAUUCGAUGCAACGCGAAGAACCUUACCUGGUCUUGACAU